This 329-nucleotide unclassified non-coding RNA is filed under the name soil metagenome. RNAcentral describes it as "partial contains 5.8S ribosomal RNA, internal transcribed spacer 2, and large subunit ribosomal RNA". The stretch from base 1 to 120 matches the Rfam family "5.8S ribosomal RNA", at positions 35 to 154 of the family's 154-position model. The record is from RNAcentral.
GAUGAAGAACGUAGCGAAAUGCGAUAAGUAAUGUGAAUUGCAGAAUUCAGUGAAUCAUCGAAUCUUUGAACGCACAUUGCGCCCCCUGGUAUUCCGGGGGGCAUGCCUGUCCGAGCGUCAUUACAACCCUCAAGCUCUGCUUGGUAUUGGGCCCCGCCGCCCCGGCGGGCCCUAAAGUCAGUGGCGGUGCCAUCCGGCUCCGAGCGUAGUAAUUCUUCUCGCUCUGGAGGUCCGGUUGUGUGCUUGCCAUCAACCCCCAAUUUUUUUCAGGUUGACCUCGGAUCAGGUAGGGAUACCCGCUGAACUUAAGCAUAUCAAUAAGCGGAGGA